UAUAUAACCUGGUUAUUCAUCCACCUAACGUAGUCUGGUUAAUUUAACCAGGGUAUCAUGGUAAAAUUAACCAAGAAAUAAUCAGGAAUAUUAGGUUUGCCAAAUAGGCUUUUUCUAGGUUAACCAGAGAAAUUUUAACAGAGUGUUUUACAGUGGAUAAAAAACUAUUAUUUUUCAUUACAAUAAAACGCCGCAUACAAGAAC
Non-coding RNA from Paramuricea clavata, 204 nucleotides. The record is from the annotation of a GenBank genome assembly. Lineage: Eukaryota; Metazoa; Cnidaria; Anthozoa; Malacalcyonacea; Plexauridae.